UAGGGAAUCUUCCACAAUGGACGCAAGUCUGAUGGAGCAACGCCGCGUGAGUGAAGAAGGCUUUCGGGUCGUAAAACUCUGUUAUUGAAGAAGAACGUGUGUGACAGUAACUGGUCAUGCAGUGACGGUAUUCAAUCAGAAAGUCGACGGCUAACUACGUGCCAGCAGCCGGCGGUAAUACGUAGGUGGCAAGCGUUGUCCGGAUUUAUUG
This 211-nucleotide ribosomal RNA is filed under the name uncultured bacterium. RNAcentral describes it as "partial 16S ribosomal RNA". It matches the Rfam family "Bacterial small subunit ribosomal RNA", at positions 355 to 556 of the family's 1533-position model. The record is from RNAcentral.